AUGGGCUCCAGAUCUUUGCUCAAGGUUCUCGCCAAGAACUUCGAUGUUCUUGCAGGGCCUUUGGUUGCACUAGCUUAUCCUUUGUAUGCUUCAGUUAAGGCAAUUGAAACCAAAUCCUCUGUGGAUGAUCAGCAAUGGCUCACAUAUUGGGUGUUAUAUUCAUUAAUAACACUCUUCGAGCUGACAUUCACAUCAAUUAUUGAAUGGCUUCCCUUUUGGUCCUCCAUGAAGUUGAUCUUCAUUUCCUGGCUGGUCUUGCCCUACUUCAGUGGUGCAGCCUAUGUGUACCAAAAUUAUGUGAGGCCUGUGUUUGUUAGGAAUCAUAUGAUUAACAUUUGGUAUGUCCCUCAGAAAAAGGGUCUUUUCUGUAAUUCAGACGACUUCAUCACAGCACUUGAUAAGUACAUUGAAGAAAAUGGACCUGAAGCACUGAAGAAAUUGGCAGACAAGGUUGGCAAGUCAUCUACACAGUCUGGAAUUGUGGAAAGGGUUGAAAGAAUUAAAAUCGCUGAAGGAGUUUAA
Molecule: ribosomal RNA, 522 nt
Filed under: Triticum aestivum (bread wheat)
Lineage: Eukaryota; Viridiplantae; Streptophyta; Magnoliopsida; Poales; Poaceae
Description: partial small subunit ribosomal RNA
Source: RNAcentral